Molecule: ribosomal RNA, 253 nt
Filed under: uncultured bacterium
Lineage: Bacteria
Description: partial 16S ribosomal RNA
Rfam family: Bacterial small subunit ribosomal RNA
Source: RNAcentral
UACGGGGGGAGCAAGCGUUGUUCGGAUUUACUGGGCGUAAAGGGCGCGUAGGCGGGUUUCCAAGUCGGGGGUGAAAUUCCAGGGCUCAACCCUGGGACGGCCUUCGAUACUGGGAGCCUGGAGAUCGGGAGAGGUGAGUGGAAUUCCGAGUGUAGAGGUGAAAUUCGUAGAUAUUCGGAGGAACACCAGAAGCGAAGGCGGCUCACUGGCCCGAGACUGACGCUGAGGCGCGAAAGCGUGGGGAGCAAACAGG